UAAUUUUUGUGAAGUUAAACCUUUGGUAAACACUUUUUAUUCUCUAGGGUAAAAUCAGGAGAACUAAGUAUUUUAUGUUUAAUUUGUAAUAUUCAAUAAACGAACCAGAUUAGUACCUGGUUAGAUGAAAUUAAAGAAGGCAGAAGUAAAGUAAUAUUUAAACUGUAAGGAUAUUGGCAGGCUUUAUAAAUUAUCUUUGGAGGUUGAGGUAUAAGUGAGAACCCUCAUUAUCUACUCCUACUUUAGGCGCAUGUAUGAUCGUUUAUUUUAUUCUUAAGGAUUGUAAACAAAAGUUUUUAUUUAUGAAAACAGAUAAAUACCUGGUUUAUGUAGGAGCUGAACUUGACCUACAAUAAAGAAGGUUUUGAAUCUUGAACCGAGAGGUUUAAGUGAAAUUGUAAAAGACAGUAAACUGUUCUUAAUGUACGGUUGAAGUUUAUUUAGGAGCGGUACAAAUCAUC
RNAcentral lists this ribosomal RNA (461 nucleotides) under Steinernema oregonense. RNAcentral's name for it is "partial 12S ribosomal RNA". Lineage: Eukaryota; Metazoa; Nematoda; Chromadorea; Rhabditida; Steinernematidae. The record is from RNAcentral.